RNAcentral lists this ribosomal RNA (147 nucleotides) under Pilobolus crystallinus. RNAcentral's name for it is "5.8S ribosomal RNA". It matches the Rfam family "5.8S ribosomal RNA". Rfam says of the family: 5.8S ribosomal RNA (5.8S rRNA) is a component of the large subunit of the eukaryotic ribosome. It is transcribed by RNA polymerase I as part of the 45S precursor that also contains 18S and 28S rRNA. The record is from RNAcentral. Lineage: Eukaryota; Fungi; Mucoromycota; Mucoromycetes; Mucorales; Pilobolaceae.
CAACUUUUAACAACGGAUCUCUAGGCUCUCGCAUCGAUGAAGAACGUAGCAAAUUGCGAUAACUAUUGUGAAUUGCAUCUCGUGAAUCAUCAAGUUUUUGAACGCAUCUUGCACUCUUUGGUAUUCCAAAGAGUACACUUGUUUCAG